RNAcentral lists this long non-coding RNA (406 nucleotides) under Actinidia chinensis (golden kiwifruit). Its description in RNAcentral is "long non-coding RNA (ACHI_LNC008219)". Lineage: Eukaryota; Viridiplantae; Streptophyta; Magnoliopsida; Ericales; Actinidiaceae. The record is from RNAcentral.
UUUUCGUAAUCCGCGUGUUUGGCAUAUACCACACGUGCGGGAGCGUGUUGGAUUUUUUCCUUCCUGGAACUUUCUGCAGCCUCCUGGAGCUUCCUGCAGCACCUUUGUUGCCUUUUGGAGCUUCCUGCAGCACUUUUGCUGCCUUUUGGAGCUUCCUGCAGCACCUUUGCUGCCUUUUGGAGCUUCCUGCAGCACUUUUGCUGCCUUUUGGAGUUUCCUGCAGCACUUUUGCUGCCUUUUGGAGCUAUCUGCAACCUUCUGGAGCUUCCUGCUGCCUCCUAGAGCUUAUGUGGCUUCGUUCCUACAAUGUUAGGUAGCCUAACAUUGUUGAAGACUUCUCUUAGCAAGCUUGGUCUCGUGGAUAUGUUCGCCCCCGCUUGAGGGGGAGUGUUGGAAAUAAAAGAAG